UUCCAGACUCCUACGGGAGGCAGCAGUGAGGAAUAUUGGUCAAUGGCGGGAGCCUGAUCCAGCCAAGUCGCGUGAGGGAAGACGGUCCUACGGAUUGUAAACCUCUUUUGCCGGGGAGCAACGGGGUCCUUGCGAGGGCCCGAUGAGAGUACCCGGAGAAAAAGCAUCGGCUAACUCCGUGCCAGCAGCCGCGGUAAUACGGAGGAUGCGAGCGUUAUCCGGAUUUAUUGGGUUUAAAGGGUGCGUAGGCGGGCUGUUAAGUCAGCGGUCAAAUGUCGGGGCUCAACCCCGGCCUGUCGUUGAAACUGGCGGCCUCGAGUGGGCGAGAAGUAUGCGGAAUGCGUGGUGUAGCGGUGAAAUGCAUAGAUAUCACGCAGAACUCCGAUUGCGAAGGCAGCUUACCAAACUAUAUCUGACGUUGAGGCACGAAAGCGUGGGUAGCAAACAGGAUUAGAUACCCCUGUAA
RNAcentral lists this ribosomal RNA (466 nucleotides) under uncultured bacterium. Its description in RNAcentral is "bacterial SSU rRNA". It matches the Rfam family "Bacterial small subunit ribosomal RNA", at positions 329 to 793 of the family's 1533-position model. The record is from RNAcentral.